UGAGGAAUAUUGGUCAAUGGGCGGAAGCCUGAACCAGCCAAGUCGCGUGAGGGAAGAAGGCCCUGCGGGUCGCAGACCUCUUUGGACGGGGAGCAAGUCCGCGGACGUGUCCGCGGAAGGAGAGUACCCGUAGAACAAGCAUCGGCUAACUCCGUGCCAGCAGCCGCGGUAAUACGGAGGAUGCGAGCGUUAUCCGGAUUUAUUGGGUUUAAAGGGUGCGCAGGCGGCCCGACAAGCCGGCGGUCAAAUCGCGGGGCUCAACCCCGUCCAGCCGUCGGAACUGCCGGGCUAGAGUGGGCGAGA
RNAcentral lists this ribosomal RNA (303 nucleotides) under uncultured bacterium. RNAcentral's name for it is "bacterial SSU rRNA". It matches the Rfam family "Bacterial small subunit ribosomal RNA", at positions 355 to 655 of the family's 1533-position model. The record is from RNAcentral.